AUGUGAUUGUAUGAUUUUUUUAAAGUAAAUUCAGAAAUUUCAAAUGCACGCCACUGUCCCCGUGGGAAACGUAAACACAACGCCUUUUAGUUUUGAGGUUAUCCCUGUUACAAACAAAGCAAGCGUACUGGGAUAUACAUGGCCAUUCUAGUCUAUAUGAUUUCAGUGACUGUGCCAAUGUCAAUAAGGGUGGUUUUGUAAAAUCAGCCUCUAUGUCGCAUCUAUAUUAAUCUAUGCUUAAACAAAGCAAGUCCAGUCCGAGUUCGAGUGAUUAACAUGGAACUCUUUCAAUUUAUUUCCAACUAAAUAUCGUCAUUCUCAAAUUAUUAACACAGAAUACCAUACAGUAAGGACAGCUUUUGAAAUGCCCAUAAGAAAUACACGUAACGGACUAGAACAACAAUAAUCGGUCAGUUGGGUAAGGACAUGACCUUGAAUUUUGGUUUGAAACUGUAGUGGCAAACUAAAUAAAAUUUACCACCAUGUCAACAUUGUGCGUCAAAUUUGACAUUGUAGAUGUUUGGUAUUUAAUAUUGUAACUGUGAUUUAUUAUUUUUACUGAAUAGAAAAUGCGCGUUGGAACAAAUAAAUAGAAUAAAUAAUCUUGUGGAAAAUGUACACAGGGAACAGAGAUGCGGUAUUCUGGUAUGGACACAAUUACGAGGACUGCUUUUGUAUAUCGCCCACAUGAAGGGCUGCAACAUAAAAGGUGAAUAAGCCCUCCACUCACGUUCCAACGCCGCAGUACAAUUGUGUUGGAUACGACGAAAUUGAAGUGUUUUUGAACGUCUGUGUAUGUGAUGAAGCAAAUGAGUUGGAUGUGGACGGUUGGUGAACAAGUCUGUCUGCAGCAGUACAAUCGUGUUGUAUUGGAUGGAAAUUUGAUCAUGUGUGGACACGACUCGACAUUGUAUGUUAUUCAAACCGUGAGAGUACAUUUUCGUCCUUUCGUCGGACAUGUUGUCAUCACGAUCGCAAAUUUUUAACUGCAAGGUCGUAACGUGUGUGUGUACUGCUGCUUUUUAAUAGAAUUGUACAACAGUUGCAUCCAAUACAAUCGUACUGCAGCGUUGGAAUGUGAAUGGCCAGCUUGAGGAUUACCAAAUGGUGGAUCAUCAUCAAAGGCGUUGAAGUAACAGAGAAGUUUAUCAUAUAUGAUGACAUUAGGUGCAACGGCAAAAUAACUACAUGUUUCUCAGAUUUCGACGGAAAUUUAAAGAAGCCCCUGAAGCAGGUUUUUUCAUUGUGCCUGCAAUCACGAGGUGGUCUACCACUGCAGUCCAUGUUACUAUGAAAAGGUUCUCAGAAUCACUUCACUAAUUUAACUAACAACAAAAAUUCAACCAAAAACAUCAAAGUACUUUUCCCAGGGAAGAUGAAAACAACAGCGUUCACUUUCUGACUCUUCAAACGGUUCACACUUGGCGAAAAUUGAAGGCAUUGACAAAAUACGAGUAGUAGUUGAUAUGUUUAUGCUGAAAUUAACUUGAUAAAGUGAUAGACUUUUAUUAAUGAAUAAAAUAAAUAUAAGCACAA
This is a long non-coding RNA of Zophobas morio, 1536 nucleotides long. RefSeq lists it as uncharacterized. The record is from RefSeq and is a predicted model, not a curated record. Lineage: Eukaryota; Metazoa; Arthropoda; Insecta; Coleoptera; Tenebrionidae. The transcript is spliced from 4 exons.